AUACGUAGGGUGCGAGCGUUGUCCGGAAUUACUGGGCGUAAAGAGCUCGUAGGUGGUUUGUCGCGUCGUCUGUGAAAUUCCGGGGCUUAACUCCGGGCGUGCAGGCGAUACGGGCAUAACUUGAGUACUGUAGGGGAGACUGGAAUUCCUGGUGUAGCGGUGAAAUGCGCAGAUAUCAGGAGGAACACCGGUGGCGAAGGCGGGUCUCUGGGCCGUAACGGACGCUGAGGAGCGAAUGCAUGGGUAGCGAACAGGAUUAGAUGCCCUGGUAGUCCAUGCCGUAAACGGUGGGCGCUAGGUGUAGGGGUCUUCCACGACUUCUGUGCCGUAGCUAACGCAUUAAGCGCCCCGCCUGGGGAGUACGGCCGCAAGGCUAAAACUCAAAGGAAUUGACGGGG
RNAcentral lists this ribosomal RNA (398 nucleotides) under uncultured bacterium. RNAcentral describes it as "partial 16S ribosomal RNA". It matches the Rfam family "Bacterial small subunit ribosomal RNA", at positions 523 to 918 of the family's 1533-position model. The record is from RNAcentral.